UACGUAGGGGGCGAACGUUGCUCGGAAUUACUGGGCGUAAAGGGUGUGUAGGUGGCUGAGAAAGUCGUGGAUGAAAUCCCGAGGCUCAACCUCGGAAUUGUCCUCGAAACUGUUCAGCUUGAGGAUGGUAGAGGAGAACGGAAUUCCCGGUGGAGCGGUGAAAUGCGUAGAUAUCGGGAGGAACACCAGAGGCGAAGGCGGUUCUCUGGACCAUUCCUGACACUGAGACACGAAAGCUAGGGGAGCGAACGGGAUUAGAUACCCGCGUA
RNAcentral lists this ribosomal RNA (269 nucleotides) under uncultured prokaryote. RNAcentral describes it as "partial 16S ribosomal RNA". It matches the Rfam family "Bacterial small subunit ribosomal RNA", at positions 524 to 792 of the family's 1533-position model. The record is from RNAcentral.